RNAcentral lists this ribosomal RNA (495 nucleotides) under uncultured bacterium. RNAcentral's name for it is "bacterial SSU rRNA". It matches the Rfam family "Bacterial small subunit ribosomal RNA", at positions 8 to 524 of the family's 1533-position model. The record is from RNAcentral.
AGAGUUUGAUCCUGGCUCAGAACGAACGCUGGCGGCAGGCUUAACACAUGCAAGUCGAACGAAGGCUUCGGCCUUAGUGGCGCACGGGUGAGUAACACGUGGGAAUAUACCUCUCGGUGGGGAAUAACGUUGGGAAACUGACGCUAAUACCGCAUACGCCCUUAGGGGGAAAGAUUUAUCGCCGAGAGAUUAGCCCGCGUCCGAUUAGCUAGUUGGUGAGGUAAAAGCUCACCAAGGCGACGAUCGGUAGCUGGUCUGAGAGGAUGAUCAGCCACACUGGGACUGAGACACGGCCCAGACUCCUACGGGAGGCAGCAGUGGGGAAUUUUGGACAAUGGGGGAAACCCUGAUCCAGCCAUGCCGCGUGUCUGAAGAAGGCCUUCGGGUUGUAAAGGACUUUUGUCCGGGAGGAAACCCUGAUCGUUAAUAGCGGUCGGGACUGACAGUACCGGAAGAAUAAGCACCGGCUAACUACGUGCCAGCAGCCGCGGUAAU